AUAGCGUAUAUUAAAGUUGUUGCAGUUAAAAAGCUCGUAGUUGAACCUUGGGUCUGGCUGGCCGGUCCGCCUCACCGCGUGCACUGGUCCGGCCGGAUCUUUCCUUCUGGCUAGCCGCAUGCCCUUUACUGGGUGUGUCGGGGAACCAGGACUUUUACUUUGAAAAAAUUAGAGUGUUCAAAGCAGGCAUUAGCUCGAAUACAUUAGCAUGGAAUAAUAGAAUAGGACGUGUGGUUCUAUUUUGUUGGUUUCUAGGACCAUCGUAAUGAUUAAUAGGGAUAGUCGGGGGCAUCAGUAUUCAAUCGUCAGAGGUGAAAUUCUUGGAUCGAUUGAAGACUAACUACUG
Molecule: ribosomal RNA, 346 nt
Filed under: uncultured eukaryote
Lineage: Eukaryota
Description: SSU rRNA
Rfam family: Eukaryotic small subunit ribosomal RNA
Source: RNAcentral